AUGCCGCGGUGAAUACGUUCCCGGGUCUUGUACACACCGCCCGUCACACCACGAGAGUUAGCAACACCCGAAGUCGGUGAGGUAACCUUUUUAGGAGCCAGCCGCCGAAGGUGGGGCCAAUGAUUGGGGUGAAGUCGUAACAAGGUAGCCGUAUCGGAAGGUGCGGCUGGAUCACCUCCUUUCU
RNAcentral lists this ribosomal RNA (184 nucleotides) under Amphibacillus tropicus. RNAcentral's name for it is "partial 16S ribosomal RNA". It matches the Rfam family "Bacterial small subunit ribosomal RNA", at positions 1354 to 1533 of the family's 1533-position model. The record is from RNAcentral. Lineage: Bacteria; Bacillati; Bacillota; Bacilli; Caryophanales; Bacillaceae.